Molecule: ribosomal RNA, 433 nt
Filed under: uncultured bacterium
Lineage: Bacteria
Description: partial 16S ribosomal RNA
Rfam family: Bacterial small subunit ribosomal RNA
Source: RNAcentral
AACGAACGCUGGCGGCAUGCCUAAUACAUGCAAGUCGAACGAGACCUUCGGGUCUAGUGGCGCACGGGUGCGUAACGCGUGGGAACCUGCCUUUAGGUUCGGAAUAACUCAGAGAAAUUUGAGCUAAUACCGGAUGAUGUCUUCGGACCAAAGAUUUAUCGCCUUUAGAUGGGCCCGCGUUGGAUUAGCUAGUUGGUGGGGUAAAGGCCUACCAAGGCGACGAUCCAUAGCUGGUCUGAGAGGAUGAUCAGCCACACUGGGACUGAGACACGGCCCAGACUCCUACGGGAGGCAGCAGUGGGGAAUAUUGGACAAUGGGCGAAAGCCUGAUCCAGCAAUGCCGCGUGAGUGAUGAAGGCCUUAGGGUUGUAAAGCUCUUUUACCCGAGAUGAUAAUGACAGUAUCGGGAGAAUAAGCUCCGGCUAACUCUGUG